Molecule: ribosomal RNA, 778 nt
Filed under: uncultured Neocallimastigales
Lineage: Eukaryota; Fungi; Neocallimastigomycota; Neocallimastigomycetes; Neocallimastigales
Description: partial large subunit ribosomal RNA
Rfam family: Eukaryotic large subunit ribosomal RNA (bases 4-668)
Source: RNAcentral
UCAGACGAUGCGUCAUGCAUAUCAAUAAGCGGAGGAAAAGAAACUAACAAGGAUUCCCUUAGUAACGGCGAGUGAAGCGGGAAGAGCUCAAAUUUGAAAUCUUCAAGGUUUUACCUUGACGAAUUGUAGUUUAAAGAAGUGUUUUCUGCUGAAGUUUUGGUAAAAGUUCUUUGGAAUAGGACAUCAUCAGAGGGUGAGAAUCCCGUCUAUGAUUGCGACAUUAUUUUCAGCUUUGUGAUACACUUUCAAAGAGUCGGGUUGUUUGGGAAUGCAGCCCAAAACGGGAGGUAAAUUUCUUCUAAGGCUAAAUAUUGGCGAGAGACCGAUAGCGAACAAGUACCGUGAGGGAAAGAUGAAAAGAACUUUGAAAAGAGAGUUAAACAGUACGUGAAAUUGUCAAAAGGGAAGCGUUUAACACCAGUGUUGUUUUCUGAAAAUCAACCUCUGUUAGCUUUAUGCAUGUUUGUUUAGACCUAAUCAGCUAUCUUUCAUGUUCUAUUGUUUGCAGUGGUGCACUUUUCAGUUUACAGGUCAACAUCAGUUUUUUUUUACCGUAAAAAAGUUAAAGAAAGGUAGCUCAUGGCUCCGGUCGUGAGUGUUAUAGUCUUUUUCCUAUGCGGUAGGAGAGACUGAGGUCUGCAGUGUAGGCUAUUUGGCUAGAUACUCAGGUGCUAUGUGAUACCAUUUCAUAAACAACUUGUUGAUUAUGUUUUGUCUAUUGCAUACUCGCUUGUACUAUCAUACCUACGCUUAGGAUGUUGACUGAUAUGUAGUCGUA